GUUCUCUUAGUAUAAUAAGUACAGUUGACUUCCAAUCAACUAGCUCCAACAACAGAUCUGGAAAAGAACA
RNAcentral lists this transfer RNA (70 nucleotides) under Bradypus torquatus (Maned three-toed sloth). Its description in RNAcentral is "tRNA-Gly". The record is from RNAcentral. Lineage: Eukaryota; Metazoa; Chordata; Mammalia; Pilosa; Bradypodidae.